UGAUUAGUAGGAUAAAGGUUCUGUACCAUU
Molecule: non-coding RNA, 30 nt
Filed under: Rattus norvegicus (Norway rat)
Lineage: Eukaryota; Metazoa; Chordata; Mammalia; Rodentia; Muridae
Source: RNAcentral